GAUGAACGCUGGCGGCGUGCCUAAUACAUGCAAGUCGAGCGAACAGACGAGGAGCUUGCUCCUCUGACGUUAGCGGCGGACGGGUGAGUAACACGUGGAUAACCUACCUAUAAGACUGGGAUAACUUCGGGAAACCGGAGCUAAUACCGGAUAAUAUAUUGAACCGCAUGGUUCAAUAGUGAAAGACGGUUUUGCUGUCACUUAUAGAUGGAUCCGCGCCGCAUUAGCUAGUUGGUAAGGUAACGGCUUACCAAGGCAACGAUGCGUAGCCGACCUGAGAGGGUGAUCGGCCACACUGGAACUGAGACACGGUCCAGACUCCUACGGGAGGCAGCAGUAGGGAAUCGUACGCAAUGGGCGAAAGCCUGACGGAGCAACGCCGCGUGAGUGAUGAAGGUCUUCGGAUCGUAAAACUCUGUUAUUAGGGAAGAACAAAUGUGUAAGUAACUAUGCACGUCUUGACGGUACCUAAUCAGAAAGCCACGGCUAACUACGUG
This 497-nucleotide ribosomal RNA is filed under the name uncultured bacterium. Its description in RNAcentral is "partial 16S ribosomal RNA". It matches the Rfam family "Bacterial small subunit ribosomal RNA", at positions 28 to 507 of the family's 1533-position model. The record is from RNAcentral.